UUAAGUGACUAAGCGUACAAGGUGGAUGCCUUGGCAAUCAGAGGCGACGAAGGACGUGCUAAUCUGCGAAAAGCUUGGAUGAGUCGAUAAGAGGCGUUUAAUCCAAGAUGUCCGAAUGGGGAAACCCAGUAGAUGAAGAAUCUACUAUCACUUACUGAAUCCAUAGGUAAGUGAGGCAAACCGGGAGAACUGAAACAUCUAAGUACCCCGAGGAAAAGAAAUCAACCGAGAUUCCGCAAGUAGCGGCGAGCGAACGCGGAGAAGCCCAAUUAAGUUGCGUAUGAGCUAGUAGAACAUCCUGGGAAGGGUGGCCAUAGAGGGUGAUAGCCCCGUAUACGAAAGCCAUACACAAUGAAUCGAGUAGGGCGGGACACGUGAAAUCCUGUCUGAAGAUGGGGGGACCAUCCUCCAAGGCUAAAUACUCGUUGUCGACCGAUAGUGAACCAGUACCGUGAGGGAAAGGCGAAAAGAACCCUGGUGAAGGGAGUGAAAUAGAACCUGAAACCGUGUGCAUACAAGCAGUCAGAGCAUAUGAAGAUAUGUGAUGGCGUACCUUUUGUAUAAUGGGUCAGCGAGUUACAUUCAGUGGCGAGGUUAACCGAAUAGGGGAGCCGUAGCGAAAGCGAGUCUUAAUAGGGCGAUAAGUCUCUGGGUGUAGACCCGAAACCGGGCGAUCUAUCCAUGGGCAGGUUGAAGGUUGAGUAACAUCAACUGGAGGACCGAACCCACGCAUGUUGAAAAAUGCGGGGAUGACCUGUGGAUAGGAGUGAAAGGCUAAACAAGCUCGGAGAUAGCUGGUUCUCCCCGAAAACUAUUGAGGUAGUGCCUUGUAGAUUGACUUACGGGGGUAGAGCACUGUUUCGGCUAGGGGGUCAUACCGACUUACCAACCCGAUGCAAACUCCGAAUACCGUAAAGUUUUACUACAGGAGACACACGGCGGGUGCUAACGUCCGUCGUGAAGAGGGAAACAACCCAGACCGCCAGCUAAGGUCCCGAAAUGACAGUUCAGUGGGAAACGAAGUGGGAAGGCUUAGACAGCUAGGAGGUUGGCUUAGAAGCAGCCAUCCUUUAAAGAAAGCGUAAUAGCUCACUAGUCGAGUCGUCCUGCGCGGAAGAUUUACCGGGGCUAAACUGUCUACCGAAGCUGCGGAUUUGCAUGAAGAUGCAAGUGGUAGGGGAGCGUUGUGUAAGCCGAAGAAGGUGUGUUGAGAAGCAUGCUGGAGGUAUCACAAGUGCGAAUGCUGACAUGAGUAACGAUAAUGCGGGUGAAAAACCCGCACACCGAAAACCCAAGGUUUCCUGCGCAACGCUAAUCGGCGCAGGGUGAGUCGGCCCCUAAGGCGAGGCGGAAACGCGUAGUCGAUGGGAAACAGGUUAAUAUUCCUGUACUGAUCAUAAUUGCGAUGGGGGGACGGAGAAAGCUAGGCCAGCACACUGUUGGAUGUGUGUUUAAGCGCGUAGGUUGGGGACUUAGGCAAAUCCGGGUUCCUAAGACUGAAACGUGAUGACGAGUUUCUACGGAAACGAAGUGGUUGAUGCUCUGCUUCCAGGAAAAGCCUCUAAGCUUCAGAUUAUGACAACCGUACCCCAAACCGACACAGGUGGGUAGGAAGAGAAUUCCAAGGUGCUUGAGAGAACUCGGGUAAAGGAACUCGGCAAAAUGAUACCGUAACUUCGGGAUAAGGUAUGCCUCUGAUGGUGAAUAGCUGUUGGAGGCCGCAGAGAAUAGGCCGCUGCGACUGUUUAUCAAAAACACAGCACUCUGCAAACACGCAAGUGGACGUAUAGGGUGUGACGCCUGCCCGGUGCCGGAAGGUUAAUUGAUGGGGUGCAAGCUCUUGAUCGAAGCCCCGGUAAACGGCGGCCGUAACUAUAACGGUCCUAAGGUAGCGAAAUUCCUUGUCGGGU
RNAcentral lists this ribosomal RNA (1910 nucleotides) under human metagenome. RNAcentral's name for it is "bacterial LSU rRNA". It matches the Rfam family "Bacterial large subunit ribosomal RNA", at positions 1 to 1977 of the family's 2925-position model. The record is from RNAcentral.